This 549-nucleotide ribosomal RNA is filed under the name uncultured bacterium. Its description in RNAcentral is "partial 16S ribosomal RNA". It matches the Rfam family "Bacterial small subunit ribosomal RNA", at positions 355 to 896 of the family's 1533-position model. The record is from RNAcentral.
UGGGGAAUUUUGGACAAUGGGCGCAAGCCUGAUCCAGCCAUGCCGCGUGCGGGAAGAAGGCCUUCGGGUUGUAAACCGCCUCUGUCGAGGGAAGAAAUCUUCUGAGUUAAUACCUCGGGAGGAUGACGGUACCUGAAGAAUAAGCACCGGCUAACUACGUGCCAGCAGCCGCGGUAAUACGUAGGGUGCAAGCGUUAAUCGGAAUUACUGGGCGUAAAGCGUGCGCAGGCGGUUUUGUAAGACAGAGGUGAAAUCCCCGGGCUCAACCUGGGAACUGCCUUUGUGACUGCAAGGCUUGAGUGCGGCAGAGGGGGAUGGAAUUCCGCGUGUAGCAGUGAAAUGCGUAGAUAUGCGGAGGAACACCGAUGGCGAAGGCAAUCCCCUGGGCCUGCACUGACGCUCAUGCACGAAAGCGUGGGGAGCAAACAGGAUUAGAUACCCUGGUAGUCCACGCCCUAAACGAUGUCAACUGGUUGUUGGGAAGGUUCCUUCUCAGUAACGUAGCUAACGCGUGAAGUUGACCGCCUGGGGAGUACGGCCGCAAGGUUG